UAUCCAGCAGAAGUUAAAACUGCACCAGAAAUCAUAAUAAAUACAAAUGACCCUACAGGUGUUGCUGUCGAUACGAUAAAUGACCAUUUAUAUUGGUCAGAACUGAAAAGCAAUCGGAUACUCAGAUCACAUCUCAAUGGUUCCAGUACAACAGUAAUUACAUCCGUUACUGCACCCCUAGAUUUAGAAUUAGAUAUGACAAACGGGCUGUUAUACAUCCUUAGUAAUUACAUAGAGAUAUUACAGUGUCGGUGGGACGGAAGUGGAUGUCGUGUUAUCCGUGAAAUAACUAAAGCAACAUUAAAUGCAGAAAAUAUAGCUAUAGAUUUUGAAGAAGACAGGGUUUAUUGGACUUUUACUAACUCUCAUCAACCUAUACGAUCGUCCUCUCUUGGUGGAUCAAAUUUACAGGAGACUGAUAUAAGCUUAAACUGUGCAUUUGGUAUUGAUGUCAGUAGUACUCAUAUUUAUUACGCGGAUUGGUAUAGAGGCAUAUGUAAAACUGAAAAGGCAAACUCGACAUAUGAUGUUCUCUUAUAUGCAAGCAAUCCAGUCACGGCUGUUAAGAUAUUCCAAC
Long non-coding RNA from Mytilus californianus (California mussel), 577 nucleotides. RefSeq lists it as uncharacterized. The record is from RefSeq and is a predicted model, not a curated record. Lineage: Eukaryota; Metazoa; Mollusca; Bivalvia; Mytilida; Mytilidae. The transcript is spliced from 3 exons.